CUCAUCGCCUUCGAGUUUUCUCUCUCGGCAGCCAUGGCGGACGACGACGGACGGGAACGGAUGACCGGCGAUUAACACAGGGUAAUAGGGUAUCCGGACCGGAAUCAAAGGUGACUCCGUGGACAUUCACAAGAAUGGGGGCUCGUGACAGCAAAACAGAUCCCUCGCUUGAGACAGGCAGACAGCGCUCACCAACCACAAGCACAACAAUCUCAUCCCUAGCAUCAACAUUGCAGGCAGUUUACACACAGGCAAUGGGAGAAUGGGGCUGUGGUUUAUUUAACACUUUGGCAUUUUGUCUGAAGGUACAUCGUACCAGGUGGAGGAGAUUCCACCAUCUCCCCAGUAA
Long non-coding RNA from Panicum virgatum (switchgrass), 349 nucleotides. RefSeq lists it as uncharacterized. The record is from RefSeq and is a predicted model, not a curated record. The transcript has 2 exons. NCBI's taxonomy places the organism in Eukaryota, Viridiplantae, Streptophyta, Magnoliopsida, Poales, Poaceae.